CGGGUUAUAGCUCAGUAGGCUAGAGCGCUACGUUCGGGACGUAGAGGCCGCCAGUUUGAGUCUGGCUAGCCCGACCA
Molecule: transfer RNA, 77 nt
Filed under: Lentisphaerae bacterium GWF2_44_16
Lineage: Bacteria; Pseudomonadati; Lentisphaerota
Also listed under: 1 other name
Description: tRNA-Pro
Rfam family: tRNA
About the family: Transfer RNA (tRNA) molecules are approximately 80 nucleotides in length. Their secondary structure includes four short double-helical elements and three loops (D, anti-codon, and T loops). Further hydrogen bonds mediate the characteristic L-shaped molecular structure. tRNAs have two regions of fundamental functional importance: the anti-codon, which is responsible for specific mRNA codon recognition, and the 3' end, to which the tRNAs corresponding amino acid is attached (by aminoacyl-tRNA synthetases). tRNAs cope with the degeneracy of the genetic code in two manners: having more than one tRNA (with a specific anti-codon) for a particular amino acid; and 'wobble' base-pairing, i.e. permitting non-standard base-pairing at the 3rd anti-codon position.
Source: RNAcentral